RNAcentral lists this ribosomal RNA (1515 nucleotides) under Triticum aestivum (bread wheat). Its description in RNAcentral is "partial small subunit ribosomal RNA". Lineage: Eukaryota; Viridiplantae; Streptophyta; Magnoliopsida; Poales; Poaceae. The record is from RNAcentral.
AUGAGGAGCCGCCUCUUCCACUACUCCUUGCUCCUCGUGCUGUGCUUCCUCUCCCGAAGCUCGGCAGCUAUGGCUGCUCCUCGUCUCCCCGUGCGAGCGGUGAACCUCGGAGGGUGGCUGGUCACGGAGGGCUGGAUCCUGCCGUCCCUCUUCGACGGCAUCCCCAACAACGAUCUCCUGGACGGCACGCAGCUGCAGUUCAAGUCGGUAACGCAGAACGCCUACGUGGCCGCGGAGAAUGGCGGCGGCGCGGGGCUGGUGGCGAACCGGCCUCAGGCGUCUGGCUGGGAGACCUUCAAGCUGUGGCGGAUCAACGAGGUGACAUUCAACUUCAAAGUGUUCGGCAACCAGUUCGUGGGCGUCAAGAGCGACGGCUCGCUGGUCGCGACGGCCGCGUCGCCGGGGCGGCCAGAGACGUUCCGACUGGUCCGCAGCCCCGGCGACCAGUACAGGAUGCGGAUCAUGGCGCCCAACGGUCUCUUCUUGCAGGCAAACAAAGAUGCCUCGCUGACGGCGGACUAUGGCCAGAGCACCAGCUGGGGCGACGACGACCCGUCGGUGUUCGCGGUGACCAGAGUGACGGGGCUACAAGGGGAGUACCAGAUCUGCAACGGCUAUGGGACUGCAAAGGCUACACCUAUUCUCAGGAACCAUUGGAGCACAUAUAUAGUGGAAGCUGACUUCAGGUUCAUCUCCGAAAGCGGGCUGACCGCAGUGAGAAUACCAGUGGGAUGGUGGAUCGCUAACGACCCCAGACCUCCAACACCUUACGUUGGAGGUUCACUUAAAACCUUAGACAAGGCAUUCAAAUGGGCAGAGAAGUACAAUCUAGGCGUCAUCAUUGACCUACAUGCAGCUCCUGGGUCGCAAAAUCCCUUUGAGCACAGCUCCUCCAAGGAUGGCUCACAGGACUGGGGCACCACCGACACUAACAUCGCACAAACUGUGCAAGUGAUAGAUUUUCUCGCAUCCAGGUACGCCAAAAGCCCAAGCCUCCUCGCAGUUGAGCUAAUGAACGAGCCGUUGGCACCCGGUGUAUCCCUGGAGAGCCUAAAAACGUACUACCGCGACGGGUACAACACCGUCAGGAAGCACUCAUCGGAUGCCUAUGUGAUCAUGUCCAACCGGUUGUCAUCCCCGGACCCAACAGAGCUCCUCGGGCUCGCUGGCGGGUUACCUGGAUCCGUCAUCGAUGUGCAUUACUACGCGUUGUUCAACAACAUGUUUGAUACUUUCACCGUGCAACAAAAUAUUGAAUUCAUCAAGACCAACUACUCAAGCGAUCUUAGCAUUGUCACGAGGGAAAAUGGUCCCCUCACCUUUGUAGGAGAAUGGGUGGCUGAGUGGAAGGUGCCUAAUGCAGCGAAGCAAGAGUUCCAAAUGUUUGCAAAUGCACAGAUGGAUGUGUAUGGGAGGGCAACGUUUGGAUGGUCCUAUUGGACUCUCAAGAAUGUGAACAACCACUGGAGUAUGGAGUGGAUGAUUAACAAUGGAUACAUCUCCUUGAAAAGCUAG